UGGAGAAUCCAGCUCAGACCCAGGAGAAAUGCCACAAUGUUGAAAGGAAUGCAUUACAGUUCCCACAAACACACACCCCUCCCUGCAACCACUACAAGAUAUGCAAGGAACUCUGAGCUGACUUGGAUCUAAUUCUUCCCAAUUCAUGCCACAAGCCCAACUCAUCAGCUGAUACCUGAGGAUGAUCCACUGCUCACUGAGCGUGGUCAGGGAGCGCCGCUGUCGGACGAGCAUCUUCAUCAAAUGUGCUGAGAACCCUCUGCACCUCUCCACGUUGCCCAUGCCCAUUUCCUGGCAGAAGAAGGAAAAACAUGCUGAAGGGGCUGCUGACAAACAUCACCCACAGAUGUGCCUCUAGAAAGCUGUUUCUACUAUAAGCGUCAGACAUGCCACACUCUAGAGGUGACAUAUUCAUUUUUUUGAGCAGUGUUUCUCCAAUUAUGCUUGCACAGAUCAUUGAGAUUCCAUAGACAGGAACUGGAUUUAACUCCAAAAU
This 496-nucleotide long non-coding RNA is filed under the name Homo sapiens (human). Its description in RNAcentral is "HSALNT0109778". The record is from RNAcentral. Lineage: Eukaryota; Metazoa; Chordata; Mammalia; Primates; Hominidae.